Long non-coding RNA from Zea mays, 1012 nucleotides. RefSeq lists it as uncharacterized. The transcript is spliced from 2 exons. The record is from RefSeq and is a predicted model, not a curated record. NCBI's taxonomy places the organism in Eukaryota, Viridiplantae, Streptophyta, Magnoliopsida, Poales, Poaceae.
UCCAAGUGGAUUGGGAGCUAACGAACAAGUCCUCACGUGGUGUCUGCCGCUCCCACCUCUAUAGCAAAUCCCCUAUGCUCCCCUCCAUUGUCUUCAACCUCCAGCUCGUGGGGCCCUCUCCUCUCUGGUCCUGGCCGCUACCCCAUGGAGCCAAGCUCCUUCUCGGCUUCGUCCACACCUGUCACCAUCUCCCCCAGGCUGGCCUCCUCUCUCUCUCUCUCUAUUUCCUCUGGCCGCCGGCCUCCAUAGCACACGAGCACUUCCCCCAGCACGCAGCUCUGAGCUCCAUGGCGCUUUCCCUGCUCCUCCAUGGUGCCCAGAUCCGGCGACCCCCUGCUGGUCAAGUUCCCAGCCGCGCACCAGGACAGCGUCGACCCCCGCGGCGGCCUGGUACUCGCGCUGCUCCCCGAGCCGAGGACCUUGCACGCAACCUUGCACGCAGCAGCAAGCCCCGGAUCCCCUGCGUGUACGCGUGCUGCUCGUCCCGCGCCGUCGUCUUUGUGAUUUGGACAUCUCCAAUGCGAUGUCACAGACCCUUGGUGAGCCCCUUGAUUCGGUCGUCCUCGCUGCGCAGGUUCCCAGCGCCCUCGCCUGCUCGACGGGAUGCCCCGUCGAUCUGUGCAGCCACGGCGCGAUGUCACUGACUCUGAUAGCUGUCGAUGUCGUCCCUCGCGCAUGGCUCGUUCGGCGAAAAGCCCAAGUCGACAUGCAUGCAUGCGCAGGUCCAAAAAUCCUAUCCUAUCGCCAGGUUGUUCGAUUGGUAUUUUUGUGGAUUAAUCUAUUUAUACUUUGGUGGAUGUUGUGCAUGUGUGUAUAUGAGUAAAAAAUGAUUCGGUAUGAAUGAAGUUCGUAUAGAAAGAAAAUGAGUUAGAAAGAGGGCUCGGAUGUUUUUAUGUUCCUGACAGGAAUACAUGCGAUGCGUUGUUUGAUACAAAGACUACGUUUAAAAACGUGGAUUAUGUGAUGGAACCUCUAAGGUAUUAGGCUCACCUACAGAUUUCCUUGUCCCAAA